CCUUCGAUAGCUCAGUUGGUAGAGCGGAGGACUGUAGUGGNAUUUCCGUCUUUCAAGAUAUCCUUAGGUCGCUGGUUCGAAUCCGGCUCGAAGGA
RNAcentral lists this transfer RNA (95 nucleotides) under Neotoma lepida (desert woodrat). It matches the Rfam family "tRNA". From Rfam's summary of the family: Transfer RNA (tRNA) molecules are approximately 80 nucleotides in length. Their secondary structure includes four short double-helical elements and three loops (D, anti-codon, and T loops). The record is from Rfam by way of RNAcentral. Lineage: Eukaryota; Metazoa; Chordata; Mammalia; Rodentia; Cricetidae.